AGGAGGUAGAGCGGAGCGUGCGUCGACGGAGGACGAGAGGAGCGGCAACAGGUAGAUGAGCUGCCAGCCGGACCACCAGCAGCCUCGUGCGCCGUUUUGGAACCUUCUCGAGGCGGGACGAACCGCAGAGUAGGCGGCUGCUGCAGCGGGCCAAGCACUCGCCGGAGCGGAGGCUGGGUAGGACGAGGCCACCUUUGGAGUGGUGGAUGCGGGUACCAUAGUACAAGGUGGUCCUCUUCUACCUUGAGUGCGGUCGGAUGGGCGUGUGGCAGCGUGUCACUUGAAGCGGCUCCUUCGUUAUAAACAACGUGUUACAGUACUCGUUGUCACGUCACCACUGGAAGCGAA
Molecule: ribosomal RNA, 348 nt
Filed under: Triticum aestivum (bread wheat)
Lineage: Eukaryota; Viridiplantae; Streptophyta; Magnoliopsida; Poales; Poaceae
Description: partial small subunit ribosomal RNA
Source: RNAcentral